This 427-nucleotide ribosomal RNA is filed under the name uncultured bacterium. Its description in RNAcentral is "bacterial SSU rRNA". It matches the Rfam family "Bacterial small subunit ribosomal RNA", at positions 355 to 774 of the family's 1533-position model. The record is from RNAcentral.
UAGGGAAUAUUGGACAAUGGGCGCAAGCCUGAUCCAGCCAUGCCGCGUGAGUGAAGAAGGCCCUCGGGUUGUAAAGCUCUUUUGUCCGGAAAGAAAAGUAUCGGGUUAAUACCCCGGUGUUCUGACGGUACCGGAAGAAUAAGCACCGGCUAACUUCGUGCCAGCAGCCGCGGUAAUACGAAGGGUGCAAGCGUUACUCGGAAUUACUGGGCGUAAAGCGUGCGUAGGUGGUUCGUUAAGUCUGAUGUGAAAGCCCUGGGCUCAACCUGGGAAUGGCACUGGAAACGGGCGUACUGGAGUGCGGUAGAGGGUAGCGGAAUUCCCGGUGUAGCAGUGAAAUGCGUAGAGAUCGGGAGGAACAUCCGUGGCGAAGGCGGCUACCUGGACCAGCACUGACACUGAGGCACGAAAGCGUGGGGAGCAAACA